CAUGACUCUUCAUCUCACUUAGCUCUUAAAGGCAAAACUGUGAAAUCUCAAAGACAAGAGAUUAAAGAAGUCAGCCCGUCCUUUCCCAAUCCCUAGGGCCUCCUCAAAUUACCCCAGAGAAGUGAUUAGAUUCUGCACUUAACCAUCUGAAAGAACAUUUCACAACUUCUCUAGGCACGUCCCAUCUGCUGAUCAGACACUGGAUCGUACCAUCUUCAGAAACUGAAGUAUAAUAGGGAUUCUCUGUGACAUGCGUCAGGGAGCUAUUCAGAAUGUAAGCUCCGUCUGCUUGUUUACUGGUCAUCCCCAGGGCCUAGAACACCUGGCACAUGGCUAGGAACUGAUUGCUGCACUCACCUCCCAGCUCACCUGUGACCACCCAGCUGGAGACAACAGACUGCCACCCUGCUGUGUUCACCGAGACAGAAGACCUACCUGCUAUUUCCAUCAAUCGCUGUGCCGACAGAGUAGUCUCGCGACUAUUGUAAAAGGGACAUUCCAAUCAUAUGUGAAACAUCCUCUUUGAGGGUAUAUAACGACCCUGUAUACCCCCCCACCUCUUUGGAGUGCUCUGUUCCUUUGUGGAAAGACUCUCCCGGGUUAUAAUCCCCAGAUUUAAGCUCAGAAUAAACUCACCCAAAUUUUCAUUUAUAGAUUGGAUAUGGAUUAUUUUCGUCGACAGUUCGUAAUAAAAGGGCUACGACAAAUGUCCCUGAGUGGGGCUGGGGUAAAGGUAAGUUGGACAUGUUAGUUUAUCUCUUACAAACCAUAGGUGAGGUGCUCAGGCAACACGCAUCUCGCAUUUCGUUCACAUUCUAAUCCCCGGGGUGGGCUGCGAGUCUGCCUAUAAUGCUCCAGUUCACACACACUUGGAGUGCCUCUUUUAUCCUCC
RNAcentral lists this long non-coding RNA (892 nucleotides) under Equus caballus (horse). Its description in RNAcentral is "lncRNA (ENSECAG00000060345.1)". The record is from RNAcentral. Lineage: Eukaryota; Metazoa; Chordata; Mammalia; Perissodactyla; Equidae.